This 253-nucleotide ribosomal RNA is filed under the name uncultured bacterium. RNAcentral's name for it is "partial 16S ribosomal RNA". It matches the Rfam family "Bacterial small subunit ribosomal RNA", at positions 524 to 776 of the family's 1533-position model. The record is from RNAcentral.
UACGGGGGGAGCAAGCGUUGUUCGGAUUUACUGGGCGUAAAGGGCGCGUAGGCGGCUUGUAUAGUCGGAUGUGAAAUUCCUGGGCUUAACCUGGGGGCUGCAUACGAGACGUAUGGGCUUGAGUGCGGAAGAGGGUCGUGGAAUUCCCAGUGUAGAGGUGAAAUUCGUAGAUAUUGGGAAGAACACCGGUGGCGAAGGCGGCUCUCUAGUACGUGACUGACGCUGAGACGCGAAAGCGUGGGGAGCGAACAGG